This 468-nucleotide ribosomal RNA is filed under the name uncultured bacterium. RNAcentral describes it as "partial 16S ribosomal RNA". It matches the Rfam family "Bacterial small subunit ribosomal RNA", at positions 28 to 507 of the family's 1533-position model. The record is from RNAcentral.
GACGAACGCUGGCGGCGUGCUUAACACAUGCAAGUCGAACGGAAGGGCCCUGCUUUUGUGGGGUGCUCGAGUGGCGAACGGGUGAGUAACACGUGAGUAACCUGCCCUUGACUUUGGGAUAACUUCAGGAAACUGGGGCUAAUACCGGAUAGGAGCUCCUGCUGCAUGGUGGGGGUUGGAAAGUUUCGGCGGUUGGGGAUGGACUCGCGGCUUAUCAGCUUGUUGGUGGGGUAGUGGCUUACCAAGGCUUUGACGGGUAGCCGGCCUGAGAGGGUGACCGGCUACAUUGGGACUGAGAUACGGCCCAGACUCCUACGGGAGGCAGCAGUGGGGAAUAUUGCACAAUGGGCGGAAGCCUGAUGCAGCAACGCCGCAUGCGGGAUGACGGCCUUCGGGUUGUAAACCGCUUUCGCCUGUGACGAAGCGUGAGUGACGGUAAUGGGUAAAGAAGCACCGGCUAACUACGUG